RNAcentral lists this long non-coding RNA (277 nucleotides) under Mus musculus (house mouse). RNAcentral describes it as "long non-coding RNA chrX:164863606-164863883". Lineage: Eukaryota; Metazoa; Chordata; Mammalia; Rodentia; Muridae. The record is from RNAcentral.
AUGGGCACGAGUCGUGUGCAGCCCAUCAAGCUGGCUAGGGUAACCAAAGUGCUGGGCAGGACAGGCUCACAGGAACAGUGCAAGUGGAAUUUAUGGAUGACACCAGCUGCUCUAUCAUCGGAAAUGUCAAAGGCCCCGUUGGAGAGGGUGAUGUGCUCACCCUAUUGGAGUCAGAAAGAGAAGCUCAGAGGUUGUGCUGAUCUCGCUGCUGGGUUCUGGAUAUCCACUACUUAGUCCAUGGAGUGACCUGCAACUGUUAAAUAAAGCAUUUGUAUUA